RNAcentral lists this ribosomal RNA (747 nucleotides) under uncultured bacterium. Its description in RNAcentral is "bacterial SSU rRNA". It matches the Rfam family "Bacterial small subunit ribosomal RNA", at positions 8 to 796 of the family's 1533-position model. The record is from RNAcentral.
AGAGUUUGAUCAUGGCUCAGAGCGAACGCUGCGGCAUGCUUAACACAUGCAAGUCGCACGGGCAGGGGCAACUCUGUCAGUGGCGGACGGGUGAGUAACGCGUAGGUAUCUAUCCUUGGGUGGGGGACAACUGUGGGAAACUACAGCUAAUACCGCAUGAAGACUGAGGUCUAAAGGCGCAAGUCGCCUGGGGAGGGGCCUGCGUACGAUUAGCUAGUUGGUGGGGUAAAGGCCUACCAAGGCGACGAUCGUUAGCUGGUCUGAGAGGAUGAUCAGCCACAUUGGGACUGAGACACGGCCCAAACUCCUACGGGAGGCAGCAGUGGGGAAUAUUGGACAAUGGGCGCAAGCCUGAUCCAGCAAUGCCGCGUGUGUGAAGAAGGUCUUCGGAUUGUAAAGCACUUUCGACGGGGACGAUGAUGACGGUACCCGUAGAAGAAGCCCCGGCUAACUUCGUGCCAGCAGCCGCGGUAAUACGAAGGGGGCUAGCGUUGCUCGGAAUGACUGGGCGUAAAGGGCGCGUAGGCGGAUGGCACAGUCAGAUGUGAAAUUCCCGGGCUUAACCUGGGGGCUGCAUUUGAUACGUGUUGUCUAGAGUGAGGAAGAGGGUCGUGGAAUUCCCAGUGUAGAGGUGAAAUUCGUAGAUAUUGGGAAGAACACCGGUGGCGAAGGCGGCGACCUGGUCCUUGACUGNNGCUGAGGCGCGAAAGCGUGGGGAGCAAACAGGAUUAGAUACCCUAGUAGUCC